AUACGUAGGGAGCGAGCGUUGUCCGGAAUUACUGGGUGUAAAGGGUGCGUAGGCGGGACUGCAAGUCAGAUGUGAAAUGCCGGGGCUCAACCCCGGAGCUGCAUUUGAAACUGUGGUUCUUGAGUGAGGUAGAGGUAAGCGGAAUUCCUAGUGUAGCGGUGAAAUGCGUAGGUAUUAGGAGGUACAUCGGUGGCGAAGGCGGCUUACUGGGCCUUUACUGACGCUGAGGCACGAAAGCGUGGGGAGCAAACAGGAUUAGAUGCCCUGGUAGUCCACGCUGUAAACGAUGAUGACUAGGUGUGGGGGGACUGAACCCUUCCGUGCCGCAGUUAACACAAUAAGUCAUCCACCUGGGGAGUACGGCCGCAAGGUUGAAACUCAAAUGAAUUGGCGGGG
RNAcentral lists this ribosomal RNA (396 nucleotides) under uncultured bacterium. RNAcentral's name for it is "partial 16S ribosomal RNA". It matches the Rfam family "Bacterial small subunit ribosomal RNA", at positions 523 to 918 of the family's 1533-position model. The record is from RNAcentral.